This 519-nucleotide ribosomal RNA is filed under the name uncultured bacterium. Its description in RNAcentral is "bacterial SSU rRNA". It matches the Rfam family "Bacterial small subunit ribosomal RNA", at positions 8 to 518 of the family's 1533-position model. The record is from RNAcentral.
AGAGUUUGAUUCUGGCUCAGGAUGAACGCUAGCUACAGGCUUAACACAUGCAAGUCGAGGGGCAGCAUCAGGUUAGCUUGCUAACUUGGAUGGCGACCGGCGCACGGGUGAGUAACGCGUAUCCAACCUUCCCCCUGCUCAGGGAUAGCCCGGUGAAAACCGGAUUAAGACCUGAUAGUUUCACUAGAUGGCAUCUGACGGUGAAUAAAGGUUUCGGCAAGGGAUGGGGAUGCGUCUGAUUAGCUUGUUGGCGGGUAACGGCCCACCAAGGCAACGAUCAGCAGGGGUUCUGAGAGGAAGGUCCCCCACAUUGGAACUGAGACACGGUCCAAACUCCUACGGGAGGCAGCAGUGAGGAAUAUUGGUCAAUGGGCGGAAGCCUGAACCAGCCAAGUAGCGUGCCAGGAAGACGGCCCUAUGGGUUGUAAACUGCUUUUGUGCGGGAAUAAAGUCAGGGACGCGUCCCUGUUUGCAUGUACCGCAAGAAUAAGGACCGGCUAAUUCCGUGCCAGCCGCUGC